GAUGAACGCUGGCGGCGUGCCUAAUACAUGCGAGUCGAGCGAACGGACGAGAAGCUUGCUUUUCUGAUGUUAGCGGCGGACGGGUGGGUAACACGUGGAUAACCUACCUAUAAGACUGGGAUAACUUCGGGAAACCGGAGCUAAUACCGGAUAAUAUUUUGAACCGCAUGGUUCAUAAGUGAAAGACGGUCUUGCUGUCACUUAUAGAUGGAUCCGCGCUGCAUUAGCUAGUUGGUAAGGUAACGGCUUACCAAGGCAACGAUGCAUAGCCGACCUGAGAGGGUGAUCGGCCACACUGGAACUGAGACACGGUCCAGACUCCUACGGGAGGCAGCAGUAGGGAAUCUUCCGCAAUGGGCGAAAGCCUGACGGAGCAACGCCGCGUGAGUGAUGAAGGUCUUCGGAUCGUAAAACUCUGUUAUUAGGGAAGAACAUAUGUGUAAGUAACUGUGCACAUCUUGACGGUACCUAAUCAGAAAGCCACGGCUAACUACGUG
Molecule: ribosomal RNA, 497 nt
Filed under: uncultured bacterium
Lineage: Bacteria
Description: partial 16S ribosomal RNA
Rfam family: Bacterial small subunit ribosomal RNA
Source: RNAcentral